This 440-nucleotide ribosomal RNA is filed under the name uncultured bacterium. RNAcentral's name for it is "bacterial SSU rRNA". It matches the Rfam family "Bacterial small subunit ribosomal RNA", at positions 338 to 770 of the family's 1533-position model. The record is from RNAcentral.
CCUACGGGGGGCAGCAGUAGGGAAUCUUCCGCAAUGGACGAAAGUCUGACGGAGCAACGCCGCGUGAGUGAUGAAGGUUUUCGGAUCGUAAAGCUCUGUUGUUAGGGAAGAACAAGUGCGAGAGUAACUGCUCGCACCUUGACGGUACCUAACCAGAAAGCCACGGCUAACUACGUGCCAGCAGCCGCGGUAAUACGUAGGUGGCAAGCGUUGUCCGGAAUUAUUGGGCGUAAAGGGCUCGCAGGCGGUUUCUUAAGUCUGAUGUGAAAGCCCCCGGCUCAACCGGGGAGGGUCAUUGGAAACUGGGAAACUUGAGUGCAGAAGAGGAGAGUGGAAUUCCACGUGUAGCGGUGAAAUGCGUAGAGAUGUGGAGGAACACCAGUGGCGAAGGCGACUCUCUGGUCUGUAACUGACGCUGAGGAGCGAAAGCGUGGGGAGCG